GAGCACGUAGGUGGGUUUGUAAGUCAGAUGUGAAAGCCUUCUGUUCAACGGAAGAAUUGCAUCUGAAACUACAAACCUUGAGCAUAGGAGGGGAGAGUGGAACUUCUGGUGGAGCGGUGAAAUGCGUAGAUAUCAGAAGGAACGCCGGCGGCGAAAGCGAUUCUCUGGCCUAUUACUGACACUCAGUGUGCGAAAGCUAGGGGAGCAAACGGGAUUAGAUACCCCGGUAGUCCUAGCCAUAAACGAUGGGCACUAAGUAGAGGGGUUUU
Molecule: ribosomal RNA, 269 nt
Filed under: uncultured Planctomycetales bacterium
Lineage: Bacteria; Pseudomonadati; Planctomycetota; Planctomycetia; Planctomycetales
Description: partial 16S ribosomal RNA
Rfam family: Bacterial small subunit ribosomal RNA
Source: RNAcentral